AUGACAAGAAAUCGCUGUGUCGUGUUACAGGAUUACCCACGAUGGAUUGAGAACCCAGAGACCCGUGCAAGGAUUUCUCAGCAUCUGCUCUUCUGCCAUCAGAAUGUCUUGGAGACGAAGCAGCAUACAGUCUUCGGUAAAAUUCCGAGUCAGGUAUCAAGCUUGUAUCUCGUACAACAAUAUAAAUCAUCUAUUUGUACUUCUUUUUUGUUGUCUUUCAUGCUUCGUAUACAUGUUAAUGGCAUGCUAUGUUAUAAGGUCUUUUUUUUUGUUUCCUGUUUCAAGUUUUAUCUCACUGCUAAGAUAUGA
Molecule: ribosomal RNA, 309 nt
Filed under: Triticum aestivum (bread wheat)
Lineage: Eukaryota; Viridiplantae; Streptophyta; Magnoliopsida; Poales; Poaceae
Description: partial small subunit ribosomal RNA
Source: RNAcentral